CUACCAGGGUAUCUAAUCCUGUUUGCUCCCCACGCUUUCGUGCAUGAGCGUCAGUCAUGGCCCAGGGGGCUGCCUUCGCCAUCGGUGUUCCUCCACAUCUCUACGCAUUUCACUGCUACACGUGGAAUUCCACCCCCCUCUGCCUGACUCCAGUCUUGCAGUCACAACCGCAGUUCCCAGGUUAAGCCCGGGGAUUUCACAGCUGUCUUACAAAACCGCCUGCGCACGCUUUACGCCCAGUAAUUCCGAUUAACGCUCGCACCCUACGUAUUACCGCGGCUGCUGGCAC
RNAcentral lists this ribosomal RNA (289 nucleotides) under uncultured beta proteobacterium. Its description in RNAcentral is "partial 16S ribosomal RNA". The record is from RNAcentral. Lineage: Bacteria; Pseudomonadati; Pseudomonadota; Betaproteobacteria.